UAGAAAGAGUAGUUACAAAUAUUUUUGGGAAAUGAAUAAAUUGCGAUAUAUAUUUUUGGUUGAAAAUCGUCAAGUGAAGCACUUGUUCUUGGGUUGGGGAAUUAGGGGUUUAGGUUAAUUUGAUUAUUUAUUUAGUGAGCAGAAUUGAGAAAUUGAAGGAUGCAUCUUUGGCCGACAAAGAAUCUGAGAGAUUCUUUCAAAACUUCAUAUAUAAAAAAGCUGGAUUGGAACUACCGGAGAAUGGAAAAGGAUUCUCAAUCAUCUGAAUCAUCAACACAACACAAAUUGCUUGAAGAAGAAGACGCUGAUACUCCUCAAAGUGUUUCUUCCAUAUUCCAUCAUGAUCUUUUAUUGCUUCUUUCUUGCUGUUUCUGCUGCGCCGCUUGUGCUGAGGAGAAAUAAGGAACAAAUUGCUGGCUUGACUUCUAUUGGGUCAUCAACCACAUUGUGACAAAACUUGUUCCAAGUAUAGGGACCAAAUUAUGUACAUUUUUAUUACUUAUUUGGUAUCCCUAUAAUAAUGUAUAGAUUUUUACAUUAUUAUACAAUUAUUGUACUAUGUGAUUUGUUUUUUACAUUAUUAUACUAUUAUACAAGUGUGAUUUGUAAAGGGUAUAAUGUAAACAGAUUAAAUAUACAAGAAUCAUAAUCUGUACAUUGGUUCUCAUUGUUUCUAUAUUUUAGUGACUGUCCUUUGUUUGGUUCUA
Long non-coding RNA from Cicer arietinum (chickpea), 707 nucleotides. RefSeq lists it as uncharacterized. The record is from RefSeq and is a predicted model, not a curated record. NCBI's taxonomy places the organism in Eukaryota, Viridiplantae, Streptophyta, Magnoliopsida, Fabales, Fabaceae.